RNAcentral lists this small RNA (253 nucleotides) under uncultured bacterium. RNAcentral's name for it is "partial 16S ribosomal RNA". It matches the Rfam family "Bacterial small subunit ribosomal RNA", at positions 524 to 776 of the family's 1533-position model. The record is from RNAcentral. RNAcentral also lists the same sequence under 1 other name.
UACGGAGGGGACUAGCGUUGUUCGGAAUUACUGGGCGUAAAGCGUGCGUAGGCGGAUCAGCAAGUUGGGGGUGAAAUCCCGGGGCUCAACCCCGGAACUGCCUCCAAAACUGUUGGUCUAGAGUUCGAGAGAGGUGAGUGGAAUUCCGAGUGUAGAGGUGAAAUUCGUAGAUAUUCGGAGGAACAUCAGUGGCGAAGGCGGCUCACUGGCUCGAUACUGACGCUGAGGUACGAAAGUGUGGGGAGCAAACAGG